UCCUUAGUAACGGCGAGCGAAGUGGGAACCAGCCCAGGUCUGAAAUCUCCCGGUUGGCUAUUGUCCUGGCCGGGCGAAUUGUGGUCUGGAGAGGCAGACUGUCCCGAUCCACCGCGUGCGAGCCCGAAGUUGACUUGGAACGGCACGCCAAAGAGGGUGAGAGCCCCGUAGGGCAUCUAAAUUGUGUGCGGCGGGACGAGGGUCUGUUCUCGUAGAGUCGGGUUGUUUGGGAAUGCAGCCCAAAGUGGGUGGUAGACUCCAUCCAAGGCUAAAUACGGGCGCGAGACCGAUAGCUGACAAGUACCGUGAGGGAAAGGUGAAAAGCACUUUGAAGAGAGAGUUCAAUAGACCGUGAAACCGUUGGGAGGGAAGCUCAGGGUGUCGAGGUUGUCAUGCUUUGUUGCUGGGUUCAUCUGGUGGCCUGCUGCCAGUGCAUUCUCAGCCAAAGUUGGACCGUCAGUCAGGAAGAGUCUGUGACCUGCUUAUCGAUGUUGGGGAGGUAGGCCUUGUGGUUCCUUCGGGUUCCCGGGGUCACGUAUAGCCCUUCAUCGUGGUCCCAGUCAUCUUUCAGGUGCGUUGGAUGACUAAUCGUCCAUAAUUGGAAGGUGCAGUUUCCCCUUGUGGGAGAUCGGGCCUUCACUGCGGUUGCUUAAUGUCUUGGAGUAUGUGUUCCGUUCUCUCGCCGUUUGACUUGUGCUGCGGUGUAGGGUGCGGCACUGCCCUUGAUGUUGUGUCCCAAUGUGUUGUGUCCAAGUUCUGUGCCAAGGUGACUGGCGAGGAGUCGUUACUCUGUGACCCGUCUUGAAACACGGACCAAGGAGUGCAAGAGAUGCGCAAGUCGGAAGGGUUGUGUCAGGACUUCGGUUCUGCCUGCCAGACCCAUUGUAUGGAACGGGCGAAGUGAGAGCAAUUUCAUGGAUGCGAGAGCCUGGUGGGAAACCCCGGGCACAUCGCUGGCCGAGCCAAAGUCACACUGUGGCUGGUUUCGAGUGCGAGCGUAUCUGUUGCGACCCGAAAGAUGGUGAACUAUGCCUGAGGAGGGUGAAGCCAGAGGAAACUCUGGUGGAGGCCCGUAGCGGUUCUGACGUGCAAAUCGAUCGUCGCACUUGGGUAUAGGGCGAAAGA
This 1125-nucleotide ribosomal RNA is filed under the name Haplosclerida sp. 2 JV-2020. RNAcentral describes it as "partial large subunit ribosomal RNA". It matches the Rfam family "Eukaryotic large subunit ribosomal RNA", at positions 77 to 930 of the family's 3401-position model. The record is from RNAcentral. Lineage: Eukaryota; Metazoa; Porifera; Demospongiae; Haplosclerida.